Molecule: ribosomal RNA, 88 nt
Filed under: Puccinia coronata f. sp. avenae
Lineage: Eukaryota; Fungi; Basidiomycota; Pucciniomycetes; Pucciniales; Pucciniaceae
Description: partial 5.8S ribosomal RNA
Rfam family: 5.8S ribosomal RNA
About the family: 5.8S ribosomal RNA (5.8S rRNA) is a component of the large subunit of the eukaryotic ribosome. It is transcribed by RNA polymerase I as part of the 45S precursor that also contains 18S and 28S rRNA.
Source: RNAcentral
AAUUGCAGAAUUCAGUGAAUCAUCGAAUCUUUGAACGCACCUUGSSCCUUUUGGUAUUCCAAAAGGCACACCUGUUUGAGUGUCAUGA